AGCUUUAUGAUCGCGAAGAAACUACGUUGUGGGUAGACGGUACUCCGAGAAUCAAUAGACUCGUAUGCAUAGGCAAAAAUCUGGAAGUGGACAUACUGCGAGGCGCUUUUAACAGCACUGCUUGUUGACGAAACUGGAAUAUUGGGCAUGGGAUGGCGUGGAGAUUUUGUAUCAUGAUGAUCACCGGGAACUAACUGCUUCCGUGUACGCAUAACAACGUGCAAUUGUGACUCUGACAAUCUGUGAUAAUUAUGUUGUUUUUAAGUGAAAAAAGUGUUAAUGUGGUGACUAUUUAAUAAUAAAAUAUAAACAUUGCAAUU
Long non-coding RNA from Saccoglossus kowalevskii, 320 nucleotides. The record is from RefSeq and is a predicted model, not a curated record. NCBI's taxonomy places the organism in Eukaryota, Metazoa, Hemichordata, Enteropneusta, Harrimaniidae.